Molecule: RNA transcript, 700 nt
Organism: Ruditapes philippinarum (Manila clam)
Lineage: Eukaryota; Metazoa; Mollusca; Bivalvia; Venerida; Veneridae
Gene name: acanthoscurrin-1-like
Exons: 4
Source: RefSeq, a predicted model, not a curated record
AUUUAGAGAAUGCCUCCAAGUACAGGAAGAGCUUGCCACGAGAUUCGUUCUCUAGGCUAUAAAUGCUUUGAAAUUUCAUCAUUACAGUGCGAGUGUCUCACAGAUUCCUUCGACAAAAUAACAAGACACCCACGCCAGAGAUGAAGGUUUCAAUGAUAUUUAUAGGAACGCUUUUAAGCGUAAUAAUGGUGGCGUAUGCCAACUAUUACAACCCUAUGAUGAUGAAGGGUGGAGGAGGCUACGGCUAUGGCUCGUACUAUCCCGUCCAACAACAAGGCGGCUCUAGUGGUGGGUUUGGCGGCGGUGGAAUUUUCGGAAUGAUCAUCUUCUUGUUCGUGUUUAUCCUAAUUAUUCAAUUAUUGUUCGGGGGCGGUGGACUAGGCGGUGGACUUGGUGGUGGUGGUGGUGGGGGCUACGGAGGCUACAAAGGGGGUCACAAGGGCGGCUAUGGAGGUGGAAAAAACGACUACUAAACUACUAUAACAGAAUCAUCAAACUUCACGGACCUCAUGAAUUUUAUGAUCUUUAAACCUGAAAUUUGUGAUAUUUUUCUUUUUUAAUUAUAUGUAACCGUAGCAACCCAUUUUCCUUCUUUUUAUUAUUUUUGUUUUGUUUCCGGUAUAUACCGAGAGACGUUCACUUCUUUGCUUUUCUAUUGCGAGUCAAUAGAUAUCGCGUACAUUCUGUACGUACACUAUUU